Molecule: small RNA, 126 nt
Filed under: Salmonella enterica subsp. enterica serovar Newport str. L0167
Lineage: Bacteria; Pseudomonadati; Pseudomonadota; Gammaproteobacteria; Enterobacterales; Enterobacteriaceae
Description: RtT RNA
Rfam family: RtT RNA
About the family: This family represents a bacterial cis-regulatory element known as RtT RNA. The exact function of RtT is unknown although it is thought that it may be involved in changing the cellular response in relation to amino acid starvation.
Source: RNAcentral
UGCUUAUCUGCGAUAUGGAAGAUUCGAACCUGCCGCAGGUUCGGGUCGAACGCAGUGAGACAACGGAGCCGUUUACGGCGACGGCCCGAAGGGCGAGCGAAGCGAGUCAUCCUGCACGACCCACCA